This 71-nucleotide transfer RNA is filed under the name Marmota monax (woodchuck). Its description in RNAcentral is "tRNA.Ala". The record is from RNAcentral. Lineage: Eukaryota; Metazoa; Chordata; Mammalia; Rodentia; Sciuridae.
GGGGCUGUAGCUCAGUGGAAAAGCGCUUACCUCGCAUGUGUGAGGCACUGAGUUUGAUCCUCAGCACCACA